Long non-coding RNA from Pezoporus occidentalis (night parrot), 3282 nucleotides. RefSeq lists it as uncharacterized. The record is from RefSeq and is a predicted model, not a curated record. The transcript is spliced from 4 exons. Lineage: Eukaryota; Metazoa; Chordata; Aves; Psittaciformes; Psittacidae.
GCGGAGAAACGCCGGGAGCGGGGCCGGGCAGCGGGCAGGGCGCUGAUCGCGGGGUCCGCGGGAGGCGGCAGCAGGGUGUCCGCGACUCGGCUCGGCGCAGCCGGGCGGACAGCUCCCACCAUGGACGCCUAGCUAAUUUAUUAAUCGAGCAGAGCUACUGCAGAUGGGUUGCAGGCUGCAAUUCCAGGGCAGAGGAAGGUUCUAUGCAACUCUGCGAGUUACCCAGCAAAUCACAAUCCUGCAAUAAGAUCCCAAGCACGUUGGCUGCUCUAUCAAUAACUGCCGUACUGAGCACAAAUAUUUUAUGUUAAUUCAUAGUGAUGGUGUAUUUGGCUGAUGGGUUGCACUUCUUUUGUCUUACUUUUCCUGUUACUCUCCUGGGUUUUUUUCCAGGGCAAAGGUGUAAAUGAAAAAGGCAUCUGAAAUGCCUGGAGGUAGCUGUAGUCUUUCUCUUCCAUCUCUUUUCUGUUUUUUCUUUUUAAGAAAGAAAAGGAGAGAGAAAAUAAAAUUGAAGGAAUAUGUCUAUCUACCUUCUGUCUAAUACCAAAUGUUUGAUUUCCCCCUCCCUUCUCUUGUUACAUCCAGAGAUGGCUGCUGCAAGCAUAAAGCACCUUUCCCAGUACAUGCAAGAUGCUCACAGAUUUUCCACAAACUCAGGAGAAACCUCAUUUAUUUUCUGCUUGUGGUUCACAGGAGCACUUAGCUUUUUAGUGGUUGACACUAUAUCUAUUUUUAGCAUCAUUUUAACAGCUGUCACUAACAGCUAAGAUCUCAUCUUGAAUGGGGAAGGGAGAUUAUCUGUUUUAUUUAAGAAAAUCAAACUACAUAAUUGUCAGAUUGUAAAACAUGAUUUGGAUCUUUAUCUGUGAAGAGAAAAAGCUAUCUUCUCCCAUUGCACCAAUUCCAUUUAAAAAAAAAAAAUAAGGGGGAAAGGGGGACCUACAGUGGGCUUGAUAAAAUAACAAAUGAGCUUUGCAAGGUUUGGAAAUAAUGCUGUUCAAAGGCACAUUUCCAAAUCCAUUAAAAGCAGUCCCAUUACUGCCUUCUGCAGCUGUGUCGUGAUGGGGGAAACCACAAAGAGUCCAGUCGUACUUUUCCAAGUAGGUCAAGAGGAGCAGCACAGACACCUCUGACGGGCAAUUCUCUCCCUUCACGUUAGAUUUUCUGAGAGGUUAACUCAUGUCAGACACAUGACACUGAAAGCAGCAGACAGACAAGCGUAAGCCACUCUGUAGCAGAUGUCAUUUCUGCGCCUAAAGAUAGUGGUAAAUUUGCCAUGGAUCAUGCAUUACAAAGCGAGGUAGGACUGAAACUCUGCAAGUGUCAAAUUUUACCUCCUCCCAUUCUUCAUAAAGCCAGGAAAUGGUAUUAGGGCUGCAGGAGCAAUGAUGUAGUGUAAAAGCAGCCUACUGUACCGUCUUACUUAGAGGUCAUGUGCCCUAUUUUGAGAACUGAACCAAAGCGGAUGAAGUUUUGAGUCGCUUCCAACUAAGGCAGCUGGGCAUUUCCCACUCCUCUCCAGCUCCAGCCCAGGAAAGCAGGCAGUCACAUGGCCACAUAUAUUAUUCUUUCACCUGGUAUUAUUCACUGUAGAUUUAAUUUUUAUGCCAUUUGGCUCACGUGGCUUUGAUUAUUCAAGAAUUAAAGCUGAUCAGGAGGAGCUGCAUUUUGGGAAGACACUGGAAAAACAUUGGGGAUGGCAGAUGAGAGUUUACUUUCCCUGUCCAACAGGUGUGAGAAUUCCGAGAGAGGAGUCCACAGUCUCACCAGUUAAAUGUGUCAGAGCUAGCUUCCCGAGCCAUGCUGAAAGCCUUUAGAGUCCUUUGCAAGACCUGGGAAAAUGAUGGUUCUAUUUCCUAAUAAUGGACUGCUACUGUCUGUUCAGAAAGUUGCUUUUGAAGACCAGCUGUGACACACAUUUUUAAUCGAUUGACCUUGGCUAAGAGGAUUGAGAAACUUAAGGAAAGAAAAACAUUCUCCUGUCACCUGCAAAACCUUACUAUACGAUGAUGAACUGCCAGUCACACAGGAAAAGAAAAUCAGACAGACAUUUCUUUUCUGGAAAGAUUAAACUCUCUAGAGGCUGGUAAAAACAAAGAAAAUCAAGUACAUCAUCUUUCAUAUUCACAUCAACCCAUCUAUUGUGGAAAACAUCAGAAAUCAGCGUUUUCUCAUUCAGCUGAAAUAUUAUUUCUGUGCUAUUUCUAGACUGAAGAGACAAAUGUCGACGAAGUGAACACGUUUAAUAAUCACCCAAAGGAAAGAGAAAGACACUGAAAAAUCCAAAGCGCAAUCCUGCUCUUUGUCAGCCACCACUGCUGCUUCCAGAGAUGGCCGCUGGGAAGAGCAAAUGCUGGUUCCUGGGAGUCACAGAGCUAUGACAUUUCACCAGUAGCUGUCUCCUUGUCUCUCUCAAGUGAUUUUGUAUGUUUGCGUGGCUUUUUUUCCUGCUUCUUUUGUGACAAAGUGGGUAUGGAGAAGGACUAGACACAGAUGUCUAGGAACUGAGUGGAAGGAGGUCAACUUGUGUUGCUCCCAUGCCAUUUCACAAAAAGCAGAAAAAACAUCAGUUAAACACAGGUGACAGAGGGGGUAGGUGAUUGCUUGUGCUGACAGGUGGGUGGUCACUGCCCGUGUGUGAUUGUGUGGUCUGAAGGCUUUCCCAGAGCAAGCUUUUCUUUGGUGGGCCACAGGCCCUUUUCUGCAGUGGUGCACAUGCUCUGUGACUCCUGUUGAAAGCAGCAUGCACAGUUGAAAUGAGGUGCAAAAAGUUUAAUCAUUUGAUCUUUACCACUACCCAGUGAUGAUUUAACUGCUCCUGAGUAAACACUAAUACUUCAAAGAAUGCUUGUGUUAAUUUGGCCUUGGAAAAAAAGACAUGUAAGAUGCGUGACCUCUGCUGAGGCAUCUUUUGAUGUCCUACAUUAAUACUAGAUUUGAUGGCUGUUCUUUUUUCUGUCUCAAAGGAGGUCCUCAGCAAUGUUUUUUCUGCCUGCCUGCUGGCUCAGUUUCUUACUUGGGCUGAUGGUUGUGAAGUGAUAUGCAUUAGAGAGCAAAGCAGAGCCACUUUUUGUAAUGCUAUGAAUGAGACAGAGUAAAGUGUAGUAAAGUGUAGAAGAGAAAUCAGUUAUAUAUUCACAGGUAUAUGUCACAAGUUGUGCUUGAAAUGUGAGCAUAUCUUUCAAGAAGUUUAAGUUAAUAUUAUUAAGACGACCCUCCUACGUCUCUUCUUUGUGCGUCAACAUUUACUGAUGGUGUACUGGUGGUGCAUGUACUUGUAGU